CAUGCCUCAUCUUCUCCACCCCACUCACCCUUCUUCACCAUUCAAACCCUAGCCCCCGCCCCUUUCAUUAUGCACCUUCGGCCAUCGAGAAUCCCACGACUGACGCAACCCUACAUGACGACGAUCGCCCGGAUGAAGCUAUUGUGUUGCGUUCCUUCUUUGCCUCGCAUCUCCAUCCAUCAGUCAUAGCCGCACGUUCUACCAUCGGGAAGCCAAAGCCGAAACGCCCUGAGUCACGCAUCUCAACCGUCUUCGUGCCCUCUAGUUUCGCCAGUCGUCCGUGUCGCGUGCUCCACCCUUGCCGAAGCCGAUCGUGUGCAUCUUAGCCAGAAUCGAACCCAAGUCGCGUCUCCUCGAGUGAUCUGCGCGUGGUCGUCCAAGCCAUGAGCCCCCUCUAUGUGUGAGUCGCGCAUCUCUGUCCCUUCAAGCCAGAUCUGAGCCGCCUUCAUUCUCCACAAGUCACGUGCCUGAGCCAACUACCCUGUCGAGCCGUUCCUUGUUUUGGAGUCACUUUUGGUGCAAGAGAAAUCGGUAGAAUUGGGACUGUGAAUUUUUCAUUUAAGGUGGAUUCAACCUUAGUCUUGGGGAAAGUCUUCGACGAGUGGUGUCCCAAUUUAGAGAUUGAUUUGUAGAUUUAGAGAUAUCAUCGAAAGUAAGUUCUCUUAUCUUUUCUUUAAAAGCAUGCUUAUAAUUUAUUUAGAAUUUUGAUUCUAAAAUUUUGCCAUUGUAUCAGUAUCUUAAGAUUUCCAAAUGAAAUUGAGUAAUGGGUUCUUUAA
Molecule: long non-coding RNA, 776 nt
Organism: Cucumis sativus (cucumber)
Lineage: Eukaryota; Viridiplantae; Streptophyta; Magnoliopsida; Cucurbitales; Cucurbitaceae
Exons: 3
Source: RefSeq, a predicted model, not a curated record